CUGUACAUAUUAAGGUAUGUUGUAACUCUAUUCAGCAAAUCCUUGAUUCACAAGAUUUGCAUCAGUCCUAGUGUAAUACAGGGUAAUUUCUCUCGUAACAAUUAAAGUUAAAAAAAGUAAAAAAAAAAUACACAAACUGGCAUACAAUCAUUGCCAAAUCGAAUAAAACUUAUGCACAUUAAGUUAGGCUUGUCUCUUCAACAUCUUCGGCAUCUUCGUAAGCGUCAUAGUCAUCAGUGGAUAUCGUAUCGUGUCUUACAUGAUGAGUCACUUUACUCAUCUGUACAUUGUUAUCGUACUUAAGAUCAGUAUUCUCAAACACUGUAUCACUAGAACUUUCGACUCUGUUAUCGGAGUAUUUAGAAGGGGUUUGUUCAUCAUCUGUUUCAUGAGCUGUACUACGGACGAUCGGCGUCUCAUAUAUAUUAAAAUCAGGUUGCUUCAAUGGCUUUGGAGUUGCCAAUGGACUGCGUUCUAACAUAAAAUUCUCUGUAUCCACCUGUGAACCGUAGUCUAUUUCUGCAACAGUUGCUUUAGCAGAAUUAUCAGGCACAACAUGUUCGUCUAAAACAGUGUCACUCGAUUCCUCAAUGAAACUACCUCCAUUUUUUCCAUUGCGUUUCGAUGACACAAAGUCAUCCCAUAGAAUUUUACGUACUUUUUCAUCUUGAAUUGUUCGAAUUCGAUCAGCCUCUUCCGCUCCUCCGAUCUUAUUCAACUUUUCGUUCUCAACAAAAGUUUUAACUUCUUUUGAAAAUUCAUCUACUCGUUGCAACAGUCGUUUUUUCUGCAACAGUUCACUACGCUCAAUAGCCUGUAGUCGUGCUUCACUGUCGGGUUUUAGAUUUAGUACUUCUAGCUGAAUUUGAUCACGAUAACCUUUAAUCUCAGACUCAGUGGCAGUUUUCAAAGUUAAGGGUUUGCUUUUAAUGGAGGACUUGGCUUGCAAUUCAGCUAUCGCGGAAACAUUUGAAAGGACAGUGGAUAAUGCGGAAAGAUCCCUCUUAAGAUCUGAUAUAAGAACAGUAUGACUAUCCAGAAAUUCUUGCUCUUGUACAAUUGCAUUUAACUCUCGUUCCCAUUGCUUCUUCCAAAUUGGAGUUACUUCCUCAAGAGAUCUUUCAAGGGUUUGAAUCCUUUUUUCCAAGUAUGCGCUUUCCUCAUUUAAUUGAGAUGUUUGAUCUAAGCCUGGUCGUACUUUGCGCAACAGCACAUCAGAACGCAUAAGUUCAAUCUGAUCAUUUACCUCAUCAAACUUUUCAACUACGUUUUUAACUUCCCGUUCAAUCCUGUCCUUGCUGCUUAAAACAAAUCCUCUUCCAAAUUGGAAAUCCAGAGAUCCCUUUUCAUUAAACGCAUUUAUCUCUUUCUUAAAAUCUUUUAUCUUUAACGGAAUCCUGGUGAAGAAAGCAGCCGAAAUCUGUUUAAGAGAAGCCAAUUCUAGUUGCAUAUUCUUAACUUGUUGGUAAAACUUGUGGUCGAUACUAUCAGGGACAGAAAAGUUAUUUGCCAAUUUUGAAUGGUCUUCUGACGAUUUGAGUGCAGCUGAGUCGUUGGUGUGAUUAGUUGAAAUAUUUUGCUCAAUAGCUUUCAAGCGCUCAAGAAUUUCUGUAAAAGCAGAAGAAGGACUUUCAUGAGUGGUAGUAUUAACAUGAUCAUCCAGAGUGUUUUGUGCAGAUGAAUGUUGAAUAGCAGAGACCUCACCGGAAUGGAAAUCUUCCCUCUUCUUGUUAGCAUCUUGCUCUUUAAACAUAAAAGAAACUAGUGACUUGUAUUUAAGGUCCGAGAGAUCUUCUAACAGAUAACUUAUCUUAGUAUCGGGGUCUUCAAUAUUUAGUUCAUAAGAAUCGCCACUAAAUGAAAUUUUAUAUACAUUACU
Molecule: non-coding RNA, 1879 nt
Organism: Schizosaccharomyces pombe (fission yeast)
Lineage: Eukaryota; Fungi; Ascomycota; Schizosaccharomycetes; Schizosaccharomycetales; Schizosaccharomycetaceae
Source: the annotation of a GenBank genome assembly